UGUGCAAUUCAAUUCGAUUUGAU
RNAcentral lists this transfer RNA (23 nucleotides) under Acisoma trifidum. RNAcentral's name for it is "partial tRNA-Val". Lineage: Eukaryota; Metazoa; Arthropoda; Insecta; Odonata; Libellulidae. The record is from RNAcentral.